This 325-nucleotide ribosomal RNA is filed under the name uncultured bacterium. RNAcentral describes it as "bacterial SSU rRNA". It matches the Rfam family "Bacterial small subunit ribosomal RNA", at positions 28 to 334 of the family's 1533-position model. The record is from RNAcentral.
GAUGAACGCUGGCGGCGUGCUUAACACAUGCAAGUCGAACGAAGCAUUUAAGGACGAUUCUUCGGAUGAGGACUUUUAUGACUGAGUGGCGGACGGGUGAGUAACGCGUGGGUAACCUGCCCUAUACAGGGGGAUAACAGUUAGAAAUGACUGCUAAUACCGCAUAAGCGCACUAGAACCGCAUGGUUCGGUGUGAAAAACUGAGGUGGUAUAGGAUGGACCCGCGUCUGAUUAGCUUGUUGGUGGGGUAACGGCUCACCAAGGCGACGAUCAGUAGCCGGCCUGAGAGGGCGACCGGCCACAUUGGGACUGAGACACGGCCCAA